Callithrix jacchus (white-tufted-ear marmoset) is the source of this 86-nucleotide Y RNA. It matches the Rfam family "Y RNA". Rfam says of the family: Y RNAs are components of the Ro ribonucleoprotein particle (Ro RNP), in association with Ro60 and La proteins. The Y RNAs and Ro60 and La proteins are well conserved, but the function of the Ro RNP is not known. The record is from Ensembl. Lineage: Eukaryota; Metazoa; Chordata; Mammalia; Primates; Cebidae.
GGCUGGUCUGAAGGUAGUGAGUUAUCUCAAUUGAUUGUUCACAGUCAGUUACAGAUCUUCUCACUACUGCACUUGACUAGUCUAAA